This 1321-nucleotide ribosomal RNA is filed under the name Salmonella enterica subsp. enterica serovar Hartford. RNAcentral's name for it is "bacterial LSU rRNA". It matches the Rfam family "Bacterial large subunit ribosomal RNA", at positions 1639 to 2925 of the family's 2925-position model. Lineage: Bacteria; Pseudomonadati; Pseudomonadota; Gammaproteobacteria; Enterobacterales; Enterobacteriaceae. The record is from RNAcentral.
AAAUCGUACCCCAAACCGACACAGGUGGUCAGGUAGAGAAUACCAAGGCGCUUGAGAGAACUCGGGUGAAGGAACUAGGCAAAAUGGUGCCGUAACUUCGGGAGAAGGCACGCUGACACGUAGGUGAAGUGAUUUACUCAUGGAGCUGAAGUCAGUCGAAGAUACCAGCUGGCUGCAACUGUUUAUUAAAAACACAGCACUGUGCAAACACGAAAGUGGACGUAUACGGUGUGACGCCUGCCCGGUGCCGGAAGGUUAAUUGAUGGGGUCAGCGCAAGCGAAGCUCCUGAUCGAAGCCCCGGUAAACGGCGGCCGUAACUAUAACGGUCCUAAGGUAGCGAAAUUCCUUGUCGGGUAAGUUCCGACCUGCACGAAUGGCGUAAUGAUGGCCAGGCUGUCUCCACCCGAGACUCAGUGAAAUUGAACUCGCUGUGAAGAUGCAGUGUACCCGCGGCAAGACGGAAAGACCCCGUGAACCUUUACUAUAGCUUGACACUGAACAUUGAGCCUUGAUGUGUAGGAUAGGUGGGAGGCUUUGAAGCGUGGACGCCAGUCUGCGUGGAGCCGACCUUGAAAUACCACCCUUUAAUGUUUGAUGUUCUAACGUGGACCCGUGAUCCGGGUUGCGGACAGUGUCUGGUGGGUAGUUUGACUGGGGCGGUCUCCUCCUAAAGAGUAACGGAGGAGCACGAAGGUUGGCUAAUCCUGGUCGGACAUCAGGAGGUUAGUGCAAUGGCAUAAGCCAGCUUGACUGCGAGCGUGACGGCGCGAGCAGGUGCGAAAGCAGGUCAUAGUGAUCCGGUGGUUCUGAAUGGAAGGGCCAUCGCUCAACGGAUAAAAGGUACUCCGGGGAUAACAGGCUGAUACCGCCCAAGAGUUCAUAUCGACGGCGGUGUUUGGCACCUCGAUGUCGGCUCAUCACAUCCUGGGGCUGAAGUAGGUCCCAAGGGUAUGGCUGUUCGCCAUUUAAAGUGGUACGCGAGCUGGGUUUAGAACGUCGUGAGACAGUUCGGUCCCUAUCUGCCGUGGGCGCUGGAGAACUGAGGGGGGCUGCUCCUAGUACGAGAGGACCGGAGUGGACGCAUCACUGGUGUUCGGGUUGUCAUGCCAAUGGCACUGCCCGGUAGCUAAAUGCGGAAGAGAUAAGUGCUGAAAGCAUCUAAGCACGAAACUUGCCCCGAGAUGAGUUCUCCCUGAGACUUAAAGUCUCCUGAAGGAACGUUGAAGACGACGACGUUGAUAGGCCGGGUGUGUAAGCGCAGCGAUGCGUUGAGCUAACCGGUACUAAUGAACCGUGAGGCUUAACCUUACAACGCCGAAG